This 327-nucleotide ribosomal RNA is filed under the name uncultured eukaryote. RNAcentral describes it as "partial 18S ribosomal RNA". It matches the Rfam family "Eukaryotic small subunit ribosomal RNA", at positions 1470 to 1796 of the family's 1831-position model. The record is from RNAcentral.
CCCUUAGAUGUCCUGGGCCGCACGCGCGUUACACUGAUGCAUUCAACGAGCUUAUAACCUUGGCCGAGAGGCCUGGGCAAUCUUGUUAACGUGCAUCGUGAUAGGGAUAGAUUAUUGAAAUUAUUAAUCUUGAACGAGGAAUUCCUAGUAAACGCAGAUCAUCAAUCUGCAUUGAUUACGUCCCUGCCCUUUGUACACACCGCCCGUCGCACCUACCGAUUGAAUGGUCCGGUGAAAUCUCGGGAUUGUGGCCAGUUCACUUUAUUGGGAGUUGGCUGCGAGAACUUGCUUAAACCUUAUCAUUUAGAGGAAGGUGAAGUCGUAACA